RNAcentral lists this ribosomal RNA (250 nucleotides) under uncultured prokaryote. RNAcentral describes it as "partial 16S ribosomal RNA". It matches the Rfam family "Bacterial small subunit ribosomal RNA", at positions 524 to 773 of the family's 1533-position model. The record is from RNAcentral.
UACGGAGGAUGCGAGCGUUGUCCGGAAUGAUUGGGCGUAAAGGGCGCGUAGGCGGCCCGGUAAGUCUGAAGUGAAAGUCCUGGUUUUAAGUUGGGAAUUGCUUUGGAUACUGUCGGGCUUGAGUGCAGGAGAGGUAAGUGGAAUUCCCAGUGUAGCGGUGAAAUGCGUAGAGAUUGGGAGGAGCACCAGUGGCGAAGGCGACUUACUGGACUGUAACUGACGCAGAGGCGCGAAAGUGUGGGGAGCAAAC